Molecule: ribosomal RNA, 1457 nt
Filed under: Mycoplasmopsis bovis
Lineage: Bacteria; Bacillati; Mycoplasmatota; Mycoplasmoidales; Metamycoplasmataceae
Description: bacterial SSU rRNA
Rfam family: Bacterial small subunit ribosomal RNA
Source: RNAcentral
CUGGCUGUGUGCCUAAUACAUGCAUGUCGAGCGAUGAUAGCAAUAUCAUAGCGGCGAAUGGGUGAGUAACACGUACUCAACGUACCUUUUAGRUUGGGAUAGCGGAUGGAAACAUCCGAUAAUACCGAAUACUUAUUAUUUUUGCAUGAAAGUAAUAUAAAAGGAAGCGUUUGCUUCGCUAAAAGAUCGGAGUGCGCAACAUUAGCUAGUUGGUGAGGUAACGGCCCACCAAGGCGAUGAUGUUUAGCGGGGUUGAGAGAUUGAUCCGCCACACUGGGACUGAGAUACGGCCCAGACUCCUACGGGAGGCAGCAGUAGGGAAUAUUCCACAAUGGACGAAAGUCUGAUGGAGCGACACAGCGUGCAGGAUGAAGGCCMUAUGGGUUGUAAACUGCUGUGGUUAGGGAAGAAAAAGUAGCAUAGGAAAUGAUGCUACCUUGACGGUACCUGAUUAGAAAGCAACGGCUAACUAUGUGCCAGCAGCCGCGGUAAUACAUAGGUUGCAAGCGUUAUCCGAAAUUAUUGGGCGUAAAGCGUCUGUAGGUUGUUUGUUAAGUCUGGCGUUAAAUUUUGGGGCUCAACCCCAAAACGCGUUGGAUACUGGCAGACUAGAGUUAUGUAGAGGUUAGCGGAAUUCCUUGUGAAGCGGUGAAAUGCGUAGAUAUAAGGAAGAACAUCAAUAUGGCGAAGGCAGCUAACUGGGCAUACACUGACACUGAGAGACGAAAGCGUGGGGAGCAAACAGGAUUAGAUACCCUGGUAGUCCACGCCCUAAACGAUGAUCAUUAGUUGAUGGGGAACUCAUCGACGCAGCUAACGCAUUAAAUGAUCCGCCUGAGUAGUACGUUCGCAAGAAUAAAACUUAAAGGAAUUGACGGGGAUCCGCACAAGCGGUGGAGCAUGUGGUUUAAUUUGAAGAUACGCGUAGAACCUUACCCACUCUUGACAUCUUCUGCAAAGCUAUGGAGACAUAGUGGAGGUUAACAGAAUGACAGAUGGUGCAUGGUUGUCGUCAGCUCGUGUCGUGAGAUGUUCGGUUAAGUCCUGCAACGAGCGCAACCCUUAUCCUUAGUUACUACCAUUUAGUUGAGCACUCUAAGGAGACUGCCCGAGUAAUCGGGAGGAAGGUGGGGAYGACGUCAAAUCAUCAUGCCUCUUACGAGUGGGGCUACACACGUGCUACAAUGGACGGUACAAAGAGAAGCGAAGUGGUGACAUGGAGCAAACCUCAAAAAACCGUUCUCAGUUCGGAUUGAAGUCUGCAACUCGACUUCAUGAAGUCGGAAUCGCUAGUAAUCGUAGAUCAGCUACGCUACGGUGAAUACGUUCUCGGGUCUUGUACACACCGCCCGUCAAACCAUGGGAGCYGGUAAUGCCCGAAGUCGGUUUAUAAAGAAACUGCCUAAGGCAGGACUGGUGACUGGGGUUAAGUCGUAACAAGGUAUCCCUACGAGAAC